This 123-nucleotide ribosomal RNA is filed under the name Orthotrichum handiense. Its description in RNAcentral is "partial 5.8S ribosomal RNA". It matches the Rfam family "5.8S ribosomal RNA", at positions 32 to 154 of the family's 154-position model. Rfam says of the family: 5.8S ribosomal RNA (5.8S rRNA) is a component of the large subunit of the eukaryotic ribosome. It is transcribed by RNA polymerase I as part of the 45S precursor that also contains 18S and 28S rRNA. Functionally, it is thought that 5.8S rRNA may be involved in ribosome translocation. The record is from RNAcentral. Lineage: Eukaryota; Viridiplantae; Streptophyta; Bryopsida; Orthotrichales; Orthotrichaceae.
AACGAUGAAGAACGCAGCGAAAUGCGAUACGUAGUGUGAAUUGCAGAAUUCCGCGAAUCAUCGAGUCUUUGAACGCAAGUUGCGCCCGAGGCUUGUCCGAGGGCAUUUCCGCUAGAGCGUCAC